AUGCGGUGGGUUGUUGUCCGUGGA
Molecule: non-coding RNA, 24 nt
Filed under: Arabidopsis thaliana (thale cress)
Lineage: Eukaryota; Viridiplantae; Streptophyta; Magnoliopsida; Brassicales; Brassicaceae
Source: RNAcentral